This 443-nucleotide ribosomal RNA is filed under the name uncultured Bacillota bacterium. RNAcentral's name for it is "bacterial SSU rRNA". It matches the Rfam family "Bacterial small subunit ribosomal RNA", at positions 917 to 1359 of the family's 1533-position model. The record is from RNAcentral. Lineage: Bacteria; Bacillati; Bacillota.
GGACCCGCACAAGCAGCGGAGCAUGUGGUUUAAUUCGAAGAUACCCGAAAACCUUACCAAGACUUGACAUCGCCUGAAUAGCCGCGAAAUCGGUGAAGUGAAAGCAAUUUUACAGGUAGACAGAUGGUGCAUGGUUGUCGUCAGCUCGUGUCGUGAGAUGUUCGGUUAAGUCCGAUAACGAGCGCAACCCUUGUCGUUAGUUGCCAUCAUUAAGUUGGGAACCCUAGCGAAACUGCCGUAGAUAAUACGGAGGAAGGUGGGGAUGACGUCAAAUCAUCAUGCCUCUUACGUCUUGGGCUACACACGUGCUACAAUGGCCACCACAAAGAGUUGCAAUAUGGUAACAUGGAGCGAAUCUCAAAAAAGUGGUCUCAAUUCGGAUUGAGGGCUGCAACCCGCCCUCAUGAAAUCGGAGUUGCUAGUAAUCCCAAAUCAGCAUGUUG